GUAGGUGGCAAGCGUUGUCCGGAAUUAUUGGGCGUAAAGCGCGCGCAGGUGGUUCUUUAAGUCUGAUGUGAAAGCCCCCGGCUCAACCGGGGAGGGUCAUCGGAAACUGGGGAACUUGAGUGCAGGAGAGGAAAGUGGAAUUCCACGUGUAGCGGUGAAAUGCGUAGAUAUGUGGAGGAACACCAGUGGCGAAGGCGACUUUCUGGCCUGUAACUGACACUGAGGCGCGAAAGCGUGGGGAGCAAACAGGAUUAGAUACCCUGGUAGUCCACGCCAUAAACGAUGAGUGCUAAGUGUUGGGGGGGGUUUCCCGCCCCUCAGUGCUGCAGCUAACGCAUUAAGCACUCCGCCUGGGGAGUACGGUCGCAAGACUG
This 374-nucleotide ribosomal RNA is filed under the name uncultured organism. RNAcentral's name for it is "partial 16S ribosomal RNA". It matches the Rfam family "Bacterial small subunit ribosomal RNA", at positions 527 to 896 of the family's 1533-position model. The record is from RNAcentral.